RNAcentral lists this ribosomal RNA (16 nucleotides) under Candidatus Glomeribacter gigasporarum. RNAcentral describes it as "partial 16S ribosomal RNA". The record is from RNAcentral. Lineage: Bacteria; Pseudomonadati; Pseudomonadota; Betaproteobacteria; Burkholderiales; Burkholderiaceae.
GGGGAUACCUCCUUUC